Molecule: ribosomal RNA, 254 nt
Filed under: uncultured bacterium
Lineage: Bacteria
Description: partial 16S ribosomal RNA
Rfam family: Bacterial small subunit ribosomal RNA
Source: RNAcentral
GACGAACCGUGCGAACGUUAUUCGGAAUCACUGGGCUUAAAGCGCGUGUAGGUGGGCCGCCCCGUCGGCUGCUGAAAUCCCCCGGCUCAACCGGGGAAGUGGCACCGAUACGAGCGGCCUCGAGGGGGGUAGGGGGGUCUGGAACUUCCGGUGGAGCGGUGAAAUGCGUUGAGAUCGGAAGGAACGCCCGUGGCGAAAGCGAGGCCCUGGACCCUUACUGACGCUGAGACGCGAAAGCCAGGGGAGCAAACGGG